This 284-nucleotide unclassified non-coding RNA is filed under the name Vuilleminia sp. RNAcentral describes it as "partial contains 5.8S ribosomal RNA, internal transcribed spacer 2, and large subunit ribosomal RNA". The stretch from base 1 to 52 matches the Rfam family "5.8S ribosomal RNA", at positions 103 to 154 of the family's 154-position model. Lineage: Eukaryota; Fungi; Basidiomycota; Agaricomycetes; Corticiales; Vuilleminiaceae. RNAcentral also lists the same sequence under 1 other name. The record is from RNAcentral.
AACGCACCUUGCGCUCCUUGGUAUUCCGAGGAGCAUGCCUGUUUGAGCGUCGUGAAUCUCUCAACCCACAAAUUGUUUGUUCAGUUUGUGCGGCUUGGACUUGGAGGCAUUGCUGGCGAUGGUCAGCUCCUCUCAAAUGUAUUAGCUGGGCUUAGCUCGGUGGAACGGUUAGUGUGAUAAUUAUCUGCGCUGCCUACUACAUCGGAUCCCGCUUCUAAUCGUCCGCAAGGACAAUUCACUUUGAAUCUGACCUCAAAUCAGGUAGGACUACCCGCUGAACUUAA